RNAcentral lists this ribosomal RNA (252 nucleotides) under uncultured bacterium. RNAcentral's name for it is "partial 16S ribosomal RNA". It matches the Rfam family "Bacterial small subunit ribosomal RNA", at positions 524 to 776 of the family's 1533-position model. The record is from RNAcentral.
UACGUAGGGUGCAAGCGUUGUCCGGAAUUAUUGGCGUAAAGAGCUCGUAGGCGGUUUGUUGCGUCGGCUGUGAAAUCCCGAGGCUCAACCUCGGGUCUGCAGUCGAUACGAGCAAACUAGAGUGUUGCAGGGGAGACUGGAAUUCCUGGUGUAGCGGUGAAAUGCGCAGAUAUCAGGAGGAACACCGGUGGCGAAGGCGGGUCUCUGGGCAACAACUGACGCUGAGGAGCGAAAGCGUGGGGAGCGAACAGG